GACGAACGCUGGCGGCGUGCUUAACACAUGCAAGUCGAACGGAAAGGCCCUGCUUUUGUGGGGUGCUCGAGUGGCGAACGGGUGAGUAACACGUGAGUAACCUGCCCUUGACUUUGGGAUAACUUCAGGAAACUGGGGCUAAUACCGGAUAGGAGCUCCUGCUGCAUGGUGGGGGUUGGAAAGUUUCGGCGGUUGGGGAUGGACUCGCGGCUUAUGAGCUUGUUGGUGGGGUAGUGGCUUACCGAGGCUUUGACGGGUAGCCGGCCUGUGAGGGUGACCGGCCACAUUGGGACUGAGAUACGGACCAGACUCCUACGGGAGGCAGCAGUGGGGAAUAUUGCCCAAUGGGCGGAAGCCUGAUGCAGCAACGCCGCGUGCGGGAUGACGGCCUUCGGGUUGUAAACCGCUUUCGCCUGUGACGAAGCGUGAGUGACGGUAAUGGGUAAAGAAGCACCGGCUAACUACGUG
RNAcentral lists this ribosomal RNA (468 nucleotides) under uncultured bacterium. RNAcentral describes it as "partial 16S ribosomal RNA". It matches the Rfam family "Bacterial small subunit ribosomal RNA", at positions 28 to 507 of the family's 1533-position model. The record is from RNAcentral.